RNAcentral lists this ribosomal RNA (497 nucleotides) under uncultured bacterium. Its description in RNAcentral is "partial 16S ribosomal RNA". It matches the Rfam family "Bacterial small subunit ribosomal RNA", at positions 28 to 507 of the family's 1533-position model. The record is from RNAcentral.
GAUGAACGCUGGCGGCGUGCCUAAUACAUGCAAGUCGAGCGAACAGACGAGGAGCUUGCUCCUUCAACGUUAGCGGCGGACGGGUGAGUAACACGUAGGUAACCUACCUAUAAGACUGGGAUAACUUCGGGAAACCGGAGCUAAUACCGGAUAAUAUUUCGAACCGCAUGGUUCGAUAGUGAAAGAUGGCUUUGCUAUCACUUAUAGAUGGACCUGCGCCGUAUUAGCUAGUUGGUAAGGUAACGGCUUACCAAGGCAACGAUACGUAGCCGACCUGAGAGGGUGAUCGGCCACACUGGAACUGAGACACGGUCCAGACUCCUACGGGAGGCAGCAGUAGGGAAUCUUCCGCAAUGGGCGAAAGCCUGACGGAGCAACGCCGCGUGAGUGAUGAAGGUCUUCGGAUCGUAAAACUCUGUUAUUAGGGAAGAACAAACGUGUAAGUAGCUGUGCACGUCUUGACGGUACCUAAUCAGAAAGCCACGGCUAACUACGUG